AUCAAAUUUCUUUCUUCUUCUGUUCAUUUCUGGUUCUCUCUCCUAUUUUCCUCAUUUAAUUUUUCACUUCCUGCAUUUUAAGAAACCUAUUUCUUAGAAUUCUUAAAAUUUUAUUCCUCUCCUUUGUUCUUUCUCUCUUGUGAGCUACCUUAUUCCUUUUCCCUCUAUCAAAAUUUCUACCCUGUGAGGAUUUUAAAUUCAACACCUGUUUUUUUUUUUUUGGGGUUCCAUU
This 232-nucleotide unclassified non-coding RNA is filed under the name Hevea brasiliensis (rubber tree). Lineage: Eukaryota; Viridiplantae; Streptophyta; Magnoliopsida; Malpighiales; Euphorbiaceae. The record is from RNAcentral.